CCCUUAGAUGUUCUGGGCCGCACGCGCGCUACACUGAUGCAUUCAACGAGUUUCUUCCUGGUCCGAGAGGAAUGGGUAACCUUUUGAAAGUGCAUCGUAAUAGGGAUAGACUAUUGCAAUUAUUGGUCUUCAACGAGGAAUUCCUAGUAGACGUAGUUCAUCAGACUGCAUCGAUUACGUCCCUGCCCUUUGUACACACCGCCCGUCGCUCCUACCGAUUGAAUGCUCAGGUGAGCCAUUCGGACUUUCAUCAUGCUGGUUUCCAGUUUUGAUGAAGGAAAGUCUUGCGAACCUUAUCAUUUAGAGGAAGGAGAAGUCGUAACA
RNAcentral lists this ribosomal RNA (324 nucleotides) under uncultured eukaryote. RNAcentral describes it as "partial 18S ribosomal RNA". It matches the Rfam family "Eukaryotic small subunit ribosomal RNA", at positions 1470 to 1796 of the family's 1831-position model. The record is from RNAcentral.